CAGUCGCCGCGGUAAUACGGAGGGUGCAAGCGUUAAUCGGAAUUACUGGGCGUAAAGCGCACGCAGGCGGUUUGUUAAGUCAGAUGUGAAAUCCCCGGGCUCAACCUGGGAAUGGCAGUGGAUACUGGCUCGCUAGAGUGUGUCAGAGGAUGGUGGAAUUCCCGGCGUAGCGGUGAAAUGCGUAGAGAUCGGGAGGAACAUCAGUGGCGAAGGCGGUCAUCUGGGACAACACUGACGCUGAGGCACGAAAGCGUGGGGAGCAAACAGGAUUAGAUACCCCAGUAGUCCCUGUCUCUUAUAC
Molecule: ribosomal RNA, 301 nt
Filed under: uncultured bacterium
Lineage: Bacteria
Description: partial 16S ribosomal RNA
Rfam family: Bacterial small subunit ribosomal RNA
Source: RNAcentral